RNAcentral lists this long non-coding RNA (465 nucleotides) under Sinocyclocheilus grahami. RNAcentral describes it as "lncRNA (ENSSGRG00000055396.1)". The record is from RNAcentral. Lineage: Eukaryota; Metazoa; Chordata; Actinopteri; Cypriniformes; Cyprinidae.
UAUAUCUGACAGAGCGUCCACCAGGGUGCAGUGUUGACUCGAACAUGCAGCAGUACCUGCGAGAGAAGCAUGUCUACCAAACAUCUGCACAGCUGCCUGUGAGGACACGACCCAGCAAUCCCACGAGCUUGUUAUAGAGUCUUACACCAUGGAGAAACGCACAGAACGCUCAGUGCUUGCAUGUAAUAGAAGGUGGGAAGAAACAGUCAGCCAAGGAGAAAAAGAGCCAUGAUUUCCAAAACUAUGAGAGAGGAGAGAGGUAAAUGGACCUGCCAUGGAUGGUUAUGUAAGUGCCAGUGGAAACAAUUUACCUCGGGCGUCGCAGAAACAAUCUGUCAUUAACUGAGUGUUUCCCCUGCAGGUUCAUUGAUGCAUCACCUUUCUCUUCUUUACUCUCAAAAUCACUUCAAUUUUCUCCGAAUAGUCAAGUUUUUAUUUGCAAGCAUCUGUGCCUUCAGAAUAAAC